Molecule: ribosomal RNA, 651 nt
Filed under: Russula versicolor
Lineage: Eukaryota; Fungi; Basidiomycota; Agaricomycetes; Russulales; Russulaceae
Description: eukaryotic LSU rRNA
Rfam family: 5.8S ribosomal RNA (bases 230-383)
Source: RNAcentral
ACAAGGUUUCCGUAGGUGAACCUGCGGAAGGAUCAUUAUCGUACAACCGAGGUGCAAGGGCUGUCGCUGACCUUUCAAGGUCGUGCACGCCCGAGCGCUCUCGCCACAAUCCAUCUCACCCCUUUGUGCAUCACCGCGUGGGUCCCCCUUUGCGGGGAGGGCUCGCGUUUUCACACAAAACUUGAUACAGUCCAGAAUGUCUAUUUUUGCGGUAACACGCAAUCAAUACAACUUUCAACAACGGAUCUCUUGGCUCUCGCAUCGAUGAAGAACGCAGCGAAAUGCGAUACGUAAUGUGAAUUGCAGAAUUCAGUGAAUCAUCGAAUCUUUGAACGCACCUUGCGCCCCUUGGCAUUCCGAGGGGCACACCCGUUUGAGUGUCGUGAAAUUCUCAAAAUCCUUUUCUUUGAUCGGAAUAGGACUUUUGGACUUGGAGGUUCAAUGCUCGCUUUCGCCUUUGAAAGCGAGCUCCUCUCAAAUGAAUCAGUGGGGUCCGCUUUGCUGGUCCUUGACGUGAUAAGAUGCUUCUACGUUUUGGAUUUGGCAUUGUUUUCUCCGCUCCUAACUGUCCCCAUGGGACAACGAUGGUGCUUCGGUCGUCGCCAUUUAUGGCGGGAGGCUGAACCCACAAAGAACCUGACCUCAAAUCGG